CACCGGGCGAGGAGCUCAAGCCCCGCCCCCCGGGGUCCUCCAGCCCCCACCUCGCCCCUCUCUAUGGUCCCUCUCUAUGGUCUCGGGGCCCACAACUCUAUGGUUAAGGCCCCCCCGACUCUAUGGUGCCCUCAACCCGGAAGUCCUCCCUAUCCAGCCCGGAGGCCUCUCUAUGGUCGCGGCCCCUACGUCACUCCGGUACCGGCCGCGCCUCUCUAUGGUCCCACCGGUCCCGGGCUCCUCCAGCCCCCCCUCCCUCGUCUCUAUGAUCCCUGCGCCCCUCUAGGCCGCCCCCCAUCGUCUCUAUGAUCCCCGGGCCCCUCUAGGCCCCCUCCCUCAACUCUAUGAUCCCGGUACCGGGCCCCUCUAGCCCGCCCCCCAUCGUCUCUAUGAUCCCCGGGCCCGGGCCCCUCUGCCCUCUCCCCCCGGCCCCUCUCUAUGACCCCGGGGGCGGCCCCCGGGCCCUCACCCGGCUCCUUCGGCCUCUCCCGGGCUCUCCCAGCACUUCCGCCAAUGCAGUGACGUCACCGGGUGCUUGGUCACGUGACGAGGGGGGGCCGGUACCGCGACCCCGCCCUCCCGGAAGUCAAUAUUGGCCCCCCUCCUACGUCACUUCCUUUCCGUGGGGAGAGACGAGUUCGGCCAGAGCGGCACUUCCGGCCUCCACAGGGGCCUCUGGAGGACUGGGGAACUGGGAGGACUGGGAGGAUACUGGGAUAUACUGGGACAGACUGGGAGGGCGCUGGGACCGACUGGGCAGUGACUGGGAUAUACUGGGUUGUACUGGGCGCAGAAAAAUCAGCGCACAUCGCACCCACUGGGGCGAACUGGGCCAUACUGGGAGCACUGGGAGAGGGAACUGGGGUUACUGGGUGUGCUGAGAUGGGUAACUGGGCAUACUGGGAGCUCUGGGAGAGGGAACUGGGCGUACUGGGAGCUCUGGGAGAGGGAACUGGGCAUACUGGGAGCUCUGGGAGAGGGAACUGGGGUUACUGGGUGUGCUGAGAUGGGUAACUGGGCAUACUGGGAGCCCUUAGACAGGGAACUGGGCGUACUGGGAACUCCGGGAGAGGGUACUGGGCAUAAUGGGUGUGCUGAGAUGGGUAACUGGGCAUACUGGGAGCACUCAGACAGGGAACUGGGCAUACUGGGAGCUCUGGGAGAGGGAACUGGGCAUACUGGGAGCUCUGGGAGAGGAAAUUGGGGUUACUGGGUGUGCUGAGAUGGGGAAAUGGGCAUACUGGGAGCCUUCAGACAGGGAACUGGGCAUACUGGGAGCUCUGGGAGAGGGAACUGGGCAUACUGGGAGUGCUGAGAUGGGGAACUGGGCA
This 1331-nucleotide long non-coding RNA is filed under the name Anas zonorhyncha (Eastern spot-billed duck). Its description in RNAcentral is "lncRNA (ENSAZOG00000008334.1)". Lineage: Eukaryota; Metazoa; Chordata; Aves; Anseriformes; Anatidae. The record is from RNAcentral.